GACGAACGCUGGCGGCGUGCUUAACACAUGCAAGUCGAACGGUGAACGAGGGAGCUUGCUCCCUCCGGAUCAGUGGCGAACGGGUGAGUAACACGUGAGCAAUCUGCCCCGAACUCUGGGAUAAGCGUUGGAAACGACGUCUAAUACCGAUACCACGCCGGGGGGGCAUCUCCUCGCGGGGGAAGAACCUCGGUUCGGGAUGAGCUCGCGGCCCAUCAGCUUGUUGGUGAGGUAACGGCUCACCAAGGCGACGACGGGUAGCCGGCCUGAGAGGGUGACCGGCCACACUGGGACUGAGACACGGCCCAGACUCCUACGGGAGGCAGCAGUGGGGAAUAUUGCACAAUGGGCGCAAGCCUGAUGCAGCAACGCCGCGUGAGGGACGACGGCCUUCGGGUUGUAAACCUCCUUUAGCAGGGAAGAAGCGAAAGUGACGGUACCUGCAGAAAAAGCACCGGCUAACUACGUG
Molecule: ribosomal RNA, 469 nt
Filed under: uncultured bacterium
Lineage: Bacteria
Description: partial 16S ribosomal RNA
Rfam family: Bacterial small subunit ribosomal RNA
Source: RNAcentral